This 465-nucleotide ribosomal RNA is filed under the name uncultured bacterium. Its description in RNAcentral is "partial 16S ribosomal RNA". It matches the Rfam family "Bacterial small subunit ribosomal RNA", at positions 28 to 507 of the family's 1533-position model. The record is from RNAcentral.
GACGAACGCUGGCGGCGUGCUUAACACAUGCAAGUCGAACGGCAAGGCCCUGCUUGCUGGGUCCUCGGGUGGCGAACGGGCGAGUAACUCGGGGGUGAACUGCCCUGCACUUCUGGGUAAGGCUGGGCAACUGGGACCAAUCCCGGAUACGAGCUACUUCCAGCGUGAUGGUUGGAAAGAUUUUUCGGUGUUGGAUGAGUUCGCGGGCUAUCAGCUUGUUGGCGGGGUAAUGGCCUACCGAGGCGGCGACGGGUAGCCGGACUGAGAGGGUGGACGGCGACAUUGGGACUGAGAGACGGCCCAGGCGCCGACGGGAGGCAGCAGGGGGGAAGAUUGCACAAGGGGCGCAAGCCGGAUGCAGCGACGCCGCGUGUGGGAUGGCGGCCUUCGGGUUGUAGAAACGUUGCGCUAGGAACGAAGCUUGUUGUGACGGUACCUAGAGAAGAAGCACCGGCUAACUACGUG